Molecule: ribosomal RNA, 98 nt
Filed under: Acanthosepion pharaonis
Lineage: Eukaryota; Metazoa; Mollusca; Cephalopoda; Sepiida; Sepiidae
Source: RNAcentral
UUGAAACACAUUUUCUCAUAUGAUCUCUGAAGUUAAGCAACAUUGAGCCUGGUUAGUACCUAGGUGGGUGACCGCUUAGGAAUACCAGGUACUGUAAG